This 75-nucleotide transfer RNA is filed under the name Gammaproteobacteria bacterium. RNAcentral describes it as "tRNA-Gln". It matches the Rfam family "tRNA". From Rfam's summary of the family: Transfer RNA (tRNA) molecules are approximately 80 nucleotides in length. The record is from RNAcentral. RNAcentral also lists the same sequence under 2 other names. Lineage: Bacteria; Pseudomonadati; Pseudomonadota; Gammaproteobacteria.
UGGGGUGUAGCCAAGUGGUAAGGCAGCGGGUUUUGAUCCCGUCAUUCGCAGGUUCGAAUCCUGCCACCCCAGCCA